UUAUAACAUGACCCCAGACCGACACUUGGGGUAAGUAGGCUGAGGUGUCUUUUUGUCCCGUGGGUCCCCCUGAAGCUCAGGACCCUUGCGGGUGUCAGGGUGCCAGCCCUUGAGCGGCCAGCCUGGCAGUGUCUCCCAUGUUCUGUGCGGCCUGGAGAGCCCCUUCGUUCUGGGCCCAGAUGUGCAAAGGCACAGGGUCCAGGCGGGGGCCUCUGUCUCUCCUCUCUCUUCCCAAGUGUCUAGGUGGGUGCCUCUGUCUCUCCUCUCUCUUCCCAAGUGUGCUGCCCACAGCAUUUUACCAGCUGGCUCUUUCCAGCCAGAGUGGCCUAGGAAGGCGGCUGGGUGUGGUACUGGGGUCCAGCUUGUCACACCCAGCCCUGCAACUGUGGGGACAGUGCACCGUGGCUCACACCCCCACCCCCGUGUUCCAGAGCUGCCUGGAUUGACAAGUGCCGCCCCAACCUGCUCAUCACAGAGUCCACGUAUGCCACGACCAUCCGUGACUCCAAGCGCUGCCGGGAGCGAGACUUCCUGAAGAAAGUCCACGAGACCGUGGAGCGUGGUGGGAAGGUGCUGAUACCCGUGUUCGCGCUGGGCCGCGCCCAGGAGCUCUGCAUCCUCCUGGAGACCUUCUGGGAGCGCAUGAACCUGAAGGUGCCCAUCUACUUCUCCACGGGGCUGACUGAGAAGGCCAACCACUACUACAAGCUGUUCAUCCCCUGGACCAACCAGAAGAUCCGCAAGACUUUCGUGCAGAGGAACAUGUUUGAGUUCAAGCACAUCAAGGCCUUCGACCGGGCUUUUGCCGACAACCCAGGACCGAUGGUUGUGUUUGCCACGCCAGGAAUGCUGCACGCUGGGCAGUCCCUGCAGAUCUUCCGGAAAUGGGCCGGAAAUGAAAAGAACAUGGUAAGGGUAUGGUGAGGUGCGGGAACCUGGAAGCUGGAGGCCGGCGGGUUGUCCUUCCACCCACGCUGUCUCUGAGCUCUCGCUGGCCUGGCCUCGCGCUGGUCAAGGGACGUGGCUGCUGCUGCUGGGGAACAGGGGCGAUGUCCGCCUGGAGCUGCUCAGUCUCUCUGUGACGCAGCCCGUCCACCUCAGGCAGAACAGCCCCAGCCCAGCCCUGGACAGUCUUGUGCCAAAACCUGAGCCCUUUGGAGUCUGCAGCUAGGCUUGGUCGGGCACCGCUGGCAGGUGGAAGCAGCUUCCAGGGCUUCAGGUGGGGGCAUCCUGGGGAAGGCCUUGAGGUGCCAAGGCUGGAGCCCCCUGGCUGUGAGCUCUGUGCCCGCCCAGGUCAUCAUGCCCGGCUACUGCGUGCAGGGCACCGUCGGCCACAAGAUCCUCAGCGGUCAGCGGAAGCUCGAGAUGGAGGGGCGGCAGGUGCUGGAGGUCAAGAUGCAGGUGGAGUACAUGUCAUUCAGUGCACACGCAGACGCCAAGGGCAUCAUGCAGCUGGUGGGCCAGGCAGAGCCGGAGAGCGUGCUGUUGGUGCAUGGCGAGGCCAAGAAGAUGGAGUUCCUGAAGCAGAAGAUCGAGCAGGAGCUCCGGGUCAGCUGCUACAUGCCGGCCAAUGGUGAGACGGUGACGCUGCCCACAAGCCCCAGCAUCCCCGUAGGCAUCUCGCUGGGGCUGCUGAAGCGGGAGAUGGCGCAGGGGCUGCUCCCUGAGGCCAAGAAGCCUCGGCUCCUGCACGGCACCCUGAUCAUGAAGGACAGUGUGAGUGCCAGGACGGCCUCUGGAGGGGGGAGGGCUGCUGCUGCGCUCCCUGACCUGUCCCUGCCCCACAGAACUUCCGGCUGGUGUCCUCAGAGCAAGCCCUCAAAGAGCUGGGUCUGGCUGAGCACCAGCUGCGCUUCACCUGCCGCGUGCACCUGCAUGACACGCGCAAGGAGCAGGAGACGGCGUUGCGCGUCUAUAGCCACCUCAAGAGGUGGGCACCCGGCCCCACCCCCCCCACUCCCUUGGGCCCUGGGGGCCAGGCAGGGUCUCACUGAGCCUCCCCACAGCAUCCUGAAGGACCACUGUGUGCAGCACCUCCCAGACGGCUCUGUGACUGUGGAGUCCAUCCUCAUCCAGGCCGCCGCCCCUUCUGAGGACCCAGGCACCAAGGUGCUGCUGGUCUCCUGGACCUACCAGGAUGAGGAGCUGGGGAGCUUCCUCACAUCUCUGUUGAAGAAGGGCCUCCCCCAGGCCCCCAGCUGAGGCCGGCAGCUCACCCAGCCACCACCUCUGCCCUCUCCCAGCUGGACAGACCGGGGCCUGCACUUCAGGACUGUGGGUGCCCUGGGUGAACAGACCCCACAGGUCCCAUCCCUGGGGACAGAGGCCUUGUGUCACGCGCCUGCCCAGGCAGCUGUUUCCAGCUAAAGAAAUAAACUGGCCUCCGGGCUGUCUUGCCUUUAUUCCUGCUUCUGGGCCCCCAAAUGGUUAGGGCAGGUGAUCCCAGACAGCGGUUUCCAGUAAAAACUGAACAAAAGACUACUUGGUACUCUC
This 2493-nucleotide small RNA is filed under the name Pongo abelii (Sumatran orangutan). RNAcentral describes it as "retained intron". Lineage: Eukaryota; Metazoa; Chordata; Mammalia; Primates; Hominidae. The record is from RNAcentral.